RNAcentral lists this ribosomal RNA (497 nucleotides) under uncultured bacterium. RNAcentral's name for it is "partial 16S ribosomal RNA". It matches the Rfam family "Bacterial small subunit ribosomal RNA", at positions 28 to 507 of the family's 1533-position model. The record is from RNAcentral.
GAUGAACGCUGGCGGCGUGCCUAAUACAUGCAAGUCGAGCGAACGGACGAUAAGCUUGCUUCUCUGAUGUUAGCGGCGGACGGGUUAGUAACACGUGGAUAACCUACCUAUAAUACUGUGAUAACUUCGGGAAACCGUAGCUAAUACCUGAUAAUAUUUUUAACCGCAUGGUUAAAAAGUGAAAGACGGUCUUGCUGUCACUUAUCGAUGUAUCCGCGCUGCAUUAGCUAGUUGGUAAGGUAACGGCGUACCAAGGCAACGAUGCAUAGCCGACCUGAGAGGGUGAUAGGCCACACUGGAACUGAGACACGGUCCAGACUCCUACGGGAGGCAGCAGGAGGGAAUCUACCGCAAUGGGCGAAAGCCUGAAGGAGCAACGCAGCGUGAGUGAUGGAGGGAUUCGGAUCGUAAAACUGUGUUAUUAGGGAAGAACAUAUGUGUAAGUAACUGUGCACAUCUUGACGGUACCUAAUCAGAAAGCCACGGCUAACUACGUG